GAUGAACGCUGGCGGCGUGCCUAAUACAUGCAAGUCGAGCGAACGGACGAGAAGCUUGCUUCUCUGAUGUUAGCGGCGGACGGGUGAGUAACACGUGGAUAACCUACCUAUAAGACUGGGAUAACUUCGGGAAACCGGAGCUAAUACCGGAUAAUAUUUUGAACCGCAUGGUUCAAAAGUGAAAGACGGUCUUGCUGUCACUUAUAGAUGGAUCCGCGCUGCAUUAGCUAGUUGGUAAGGUAACGGCUUACCAAGGCAACGAUGCAUAGCCGACCUGAGAGGGUGAUCGGCCACACUGGAACUGAGACACGGUCCAGACUCCUACGGGAGGCCGCAGUAGGGAAUCUUCCGCAAUGGGCGAAAGCAUGACGGAGCAACGCCGCGUGAGUGAUGAAGGUCUUCGGAUCGUAAAACUCUGUUAUUAGGGAAGAACAUAUGUGUAAGUAACUGUGCACAUCUUGACGGUACCUAAUCAGAAAGCCACGGCUAACUACGUG
Molecule: ribosomal RNA, 497 nt
Filed under: uncultured bacterium
Lineage: Bacteria
Description: partial 16S ribosomal RNA
Rfam family: Bacterial small subunit ribosomal RNA
Source: RNAcentral